This 113-nucleotide ribosomal RNA is filed under the name Periophthalmus magnuspinnatus. The record is from RNAcentral. Lineage: Eukaryota; Metazoa; Chordata; Actinopteri; Gobiiformes; Gobiidae.
CACUCCAACCUCCUUGUCAAAACCUGAUCUCAUCAGAUCUCUGAAGCUAAGCAGAGCAGGGCCUAGUUUAGACUUGGAUGGGAGACUGCUGGGAAUAACAGGUGCCACAGUGA